This 440-nucleotide ribosomal RNA is filed under the name uncultured bacterium. Its description in RNAcentral is "partial 16S ribosomal RNA". It matches the Rfam family "Bacterial small subunit ribosomal RNA", at positions 338 to 795 of the family's 1533-position model. The record is from RNAcentral.
CCUACGGGAGGCAGCAGUAUGGAAUAUUGCUCAAUGGGGGAAACCCUGAAGCAGCAACGCCGCGUGGAGGAUGAAGGUUUUCGGAUUGUACACUCCUUUUGUUAGAGAAGAUAAUGACGGUCUCUAACGAAUAAGCACCGGCUAACUCCGUGCCAGCAGCCGCGGUAAUACGGAGGGUGCAAGCGUUACUCGGAAUCACUUGGCGUAAGGAGCGCGUAGGCGGGAUAGCAAGUCAGAUGUGAAAUCCUAUGGCUUAACCAUAGAACUGCAUUGGAAACUGUUAUUCUAGAGUAUGGGAGAGGUAGGUGGAAUUCUUGGUGUAGGGGUAAAAUCCGUAGAGAUCAAGAGGAAUACUCAUUGCGAAGGCGACCUGCUAGAACAUAACUGACGCUGAUGCGCGAAAGCGUGGGGAGCAAACAGGAUUAGAUACCCCAGUAGUC